UAGGGAAUCUUCGGCAAUGGACGGAAGUCUGACCGAGCAACGCCGCGUGAGUGAAGAAGGUUUUCGGAUCGUAAAGCUCUGUUGUUAGAGAAGAACGUUGGUAGGAGUGGAAAAUCUACCAAGUGACGGUAACUAACCAGAAAGGGACGGCUAACUACGUGCCAGCAGCCGCGGUAAUACGUAGGUCCCGAGCGUUGUCCGGAUUUAUUGGGCGUAAAGCGAGCGCAGGCGGCUCUUUAAGUCUGAAGUUAAAGGCAGUGGCUUAACCAUUGUACGCUUUGGAAACUGGAGGACUUGAGUGCUGAAGGUGAGAGUGGAAUUCCAUGUGUAGCUGUGAAAUGCGUAGAUAUAUGGAGGAACACCGGUGGCGAAAGCGGCUCUCUGGUCUGUAACUGACGCUGAGGCUCGAAAGCGUGGGGAGCAAACAGG
RNAcentral lists this ribosomal RNA (429 nucleotides) under Bacillota bacterium. RNAcentral's name for it is "Firmicutes bacterium partial 16S ribosomal RNA". It matches the Rfam family "Bacterial small subunit ribosomal RNA", at positions 355 to 776 of the family's 1533-position model. Lineage: Bacteria; Bacillati; Bacillota. The record is from RNAcentral.